AAAGCAACUGAGCAUACCAGCUGUUUGCUGUUUGCUGCAGACGCUGACUAACUUACGAGUAAAUGCUUUGUGCUGAGCGCUUCAGUUGAUUGCUUUUCUUUAGAGAAGUUUUGCUUUUUACUUAACUCAUUUUCUUCUCAUUGUCUCUUUGGCAUUGGCCACUAACUUGUUUGCUGGCUUGCUGGCUUACUUGCAACUCAGCCAACCAAUCAACUAGCCAGCUAGCAAGCUAGCCAAAUGUCUCACAGCCACUACGAUUUCGACAGUCUUAGCCUACUCGGUGUGGCGAGUACAACACAAACGCUUUGAGGUACGGUACGCGUGCGCACGUUGUCGUCGGACGGUUAAAAGUUUUAGUACAUCGAUUUUAGAUUGAAUUGGUUUGGAUUUGAUUGUGCGCGUGUGAAGUAGUGUGUGCGUGAGCUCGAAUGUGGUUCGAGUGGAAGACGAGUAUAUGUACGAGUACAACGUUGCGAAGGAAGUCGAAUAGACAACGCAACGAAACAGAGAAGUGAUAAUUUUAAAUUUAAAGAUAACCAAUAAAAAAAUAUUAAAGAAAAUAAAUUUAAUAAAACGUGAUACGCUGUAAAUUAUUGCAAAGCAAAACAUAUAAAUAUCUACUAUAAUGUCCCAACAAGGAAGUAAAAAGAAAUAAAAUAAAUUGCACGCAAUAGCUACAACAACACUUAAAUAAUGAGCAACAAAUAAAACUUUAAAAUUCAACAACUACACAAAUAAUUUAUAUUUGGCAAAAUUACGUAAAAAUCAACAAGUCAAACAGCCAGCAGCGAAAGGAGCGGUCAACGAGUAGUGGGCAACCAAAAAUUGGCAGAGUAAAAUAAAAAUAUACAAAAAAAAUUUAAUAUACAAAAUUUAAAUAUAUUAGUUACAACUGUCAAACAGCACAGACUGGUAACUGAUACCGGAAAUUAAGUUUGUGCCAGAAGAAGUUGUUCAAUUCAGCCGCUGAUGUGCUGCGGUCUAGCAAGUUUUAUAGCAGUUCAUCGUAAGAAAGCAAAAUGAAGCCAUUCACACAACUCGUCUAUGCGGCGCUGCAAAUAAUCACAAUCACCACAUUGGUCACACAUGGUGCACAAAUACCAACAGCCACGAGUAAGUAAUGCAUUUUUGCACAAAAUUAAUUUAUCAAAAUCAAUAUUGGAAAAUAAUUACAAUAAGUCGAACAAUCCAAUACCUAUUAACCUAAAUUGAAUGAAGAAAUGUGAAUUGAGUGUCUGUAUCUGUGUCUGAGAGUUAUGUUUGUACAAGUAUUAAUACCUUUUUACUUUAUGUUAAUUAAAAUAUAUUGUGUGCAUGAUUUUCACCAUUUCUCUCGACUUACAUGCUUUGAGCUGUCAGAAAUAAAUACAGGAAAUGAAAGGAGAAAUGGGUUUCUAUUGAAAUAAAUAUAGUUUGCAAAUUAAUUUUGUUUUUUAAAUUAAUGUAAACAAUUGCAAUGUUAUAAAACUCAGUAAACGCGAUGCAAAUUAUUACAUUGGGCUAUUAGCCAGAUUGAAUGCGUCUGUUCAACUGAUAUGCACAGAACCACACUCAUUGUAAUUUUAUGAUAAAAUGCUCUCUCUUAAGGAUUGUUAAAACUACUAAUGACAAAAUGAAAAAAAUAACAAAUUAAGGCUUAUUCUCCUCUGUGCCUCUAUAUACCUUUUCUACGAUCUCGUUGAAACUAAGUUACGCUGUUUUGCAACCGCACGCAAAGAUUGUGAGAA
Molecule: long non-coding RNA, 1727 nt
Organism: Anastrepha ludens (Mexican fruit fly)
Lineage: Eukaryota; Metazoa; Arthropoda; Insecta; Diptera; Tephritidae
Exons: 5
Source: RefSeq, a predicted model, not a curated record